RNAcentral lists this ribosomal RNA (212 nucleotides) under uncultured bacterium. RNAcentral's name for it is "partial 16S ribosomal RNA". It matches the Rfam family "Bacterial small subunit ribosomal RNA", at positions 56 to 526 of the family's 1533-position model. The record is from RNAcentral.
CGCCUCCCUCCGCCGCCACUCACGACUACCGUACGGGACGGACGAGCGAGUGGGAAGUAGUUGCGCAUGGCGAAGCCUGACGCAGCGACGCCGCGGUGGGGAGUGGAAGGCCGUUCGGGUUCGUUAACCCGUUUCUACGCAGGACGAAGCGAAAGUGACGGUACCUGCAGAAGAAGCGCCGGCUAACUACGUGCCAGCAGCCGCGGUAAUAC